CUGGCGGCAGGAGAUGCAGGCAUCCCCGGGUCACGCGCUCCCACCAGGUGCUUGACGGAUUGCGAGGGCACAGGAAGACGCACAGCGCAGCUGAGUUAAUGUUCGAAGCAACUGAUAUUCAAAUUAAGCGGUUGGAGAACUAAAGGGCAAAGUAAAUGAAUGCUUCACAAAAGAAUCCUCCAUAAAAGGUGUCACAGCCAGAUUAGGGGGGCAUUCUAUUUGCUGUAUUUAUGGUUCACAGUGGCAGCAUGGGCCAAUGCUAAUGAAUGAAACUGAAAUCCUCGGUGCCCCCAUUUAUUUUGAUGUUGGCUUGAUGUUCAUGGUCUUGAAGUUUGAUACAUUAGGUAGAAGUAAUGCACUCUAAAUCAUCAGAAUUUUAUUACCUUGAGACAUUAUUGAACCAAAAUCUAUAGUUUCGGGGCCGAUCCUCCUCUUUGUUGGCCCUACGCUUAAGUUCUGGCUUUCUGGUUCUUUGCUUUAAUUUGCUAGUUCCAACAAGAGACUACAUUUCGUUCUGAAGGAGGCUUUGGACCCGAAGUGUCCACGCACUCUGCAUAAUACAAAUAUAGACAGUGGGGGUCUAUACUCUAUAGUACUAAGGGUACGUUUGAUUCAGCUUUUUGAACCUGCGCUUCUGCUUCUGCUCUUCUCCUCACUAACCGCACUAGAGUAGAUCAGGUCUUAUUUUGGUUUGUGGGGGCAAGGAUGUAGCAGCGAAUGUUAUUUUACAUGCCGGCCUCAUCCUCUUUUAUUUACGCAGGGGGCCGAAACUAGUAAGUUAUUGCACUCGAUCAGGACGUGAGAGAUAGAGUCAGACUCGUUCCUCUAACAUUUUUUCCCCUCAUAUUUCCAAGAGAAAUAGAGGUUCUUAUUGCUAGCUGGAGGAGUCAUUAUGCUAUACUAUCUUAUCAUUUCCUGGCUGACUAAAUAGAACUGCAUAGUUGAUCUUUGCAUGCAUGUGAACUGUCUGAAUUCUUGUCACAGUGCAACAACCGGCGUUCUGUAUUCAUAUAUCACUGUGUAUGUUAAUCAUUGCUCUGGUUGCUGGAUAAGUUAAGUUUUGUCAUAAACCACCCGUCUCAGUCUUCCAUUUAUAAAUCAUUUGUAUGCACAUGGCGCUUCUUCCCCCCCCCCCUUUUUUUUUGCAAUUUGAUUGAGCAAGCACUAGUCGAAGGCUGGAUUUCAGGUUGGCCACAGGAAAUCUCAUCCUCUCCCAUGUAAUGAUGUCGUGCCGGCCGGAGAUGACGCUCGUCCACAUUGGCACAUCGUGCUGUAUACGGUUCUCAAUCAAUUUUCAGUGCGGUGUCAUGAGCUUUGUAUUCCCUGUCAUGCCAUAUGACAUUCAUUCCCCUGCACAUGAUGCUACUCAUCUUCUUUGACGUAAUAGUGUUUUUUUUAAUUGGAUGACUGUGGAGAAUAUUAAAUAGGCCAUCAGUUGUUAAGAUUUCCUAUCGGUUUUCAGGUAGAUUACUCGAGUAGCGUGGUCUGUCCAUGUGUUACUCGGAUACUGCUGGUGGAUGAAUUUCCCCGUCAUCCAGUGCCACAUGGCUUGACCGCAGCCAACACCUCUAAACAUGUUAUCGGAUUUCUACGGCCAUUCAUUGCUGUUCGCCCUUGGACACAGGAGAAGAUGAAUGGUGGGCUGUGGGCACCGGUGAAUCAGCUUGAGGGACAAGAUCGGACACGCAGCCAUGGCAGAGAUUUGCUGUGCGAGUGUUGGAGCCUUCGAGGGGGCAUGUGAUGUGAGCGGACGCGGCAAGUUGCAACACGCAUCUGCGUGCGCCGACGCAUGUGGGGCUCAGUGUUUGUACGUGAGCCGUCUAAAGGAACAGGCAGGGGCAGAUGGCACUGUCCGUUUGCCAUGUGACCGGACUGUUGUCGGGCAAGCGGAGGACGGCUGCCCGCAGGACGCGACGGCGGUUUUCCGGCCAGUGAGAGGGCUGUGGACACAUGGGAGUUGCUAGCUACGGCCUACGGGUAAAGUCAGGUUAUCUUGUCGGCGUCACAAUGCCUUUCACGGUGGGCUAUUCUACAGAGGAAGGAGGUUCGACCUAUGGUUGUAACAGGAUCACGAACCUUGGUGAGGGUGGCCACGACGUUUUUCUCCCGGAGGCACGGGUGGCGAUCUAGGCUUCGGAUCGGUUAUCAUUAGAUCAAUGUCUUUUUUGGUUUUUUUUUAGUUGGCUAUGUGCAUUAGGCAGAGGUCGGAAGUUCUGUACCAAGGAUUUGUAUCCUCUUGAUGUAAUGACUUGGUAUUUUCAAUACAAGCUUCCUUUAUCU
Molecule: long non-coding RNA, 2280 nt
Organism: Zea mays
Lineage: Eukaryota; Viridiplantae; Streptophyta; Magnoliopsida; Poales; Poaceae
Exons: 5
Source: RefSeq, a predicted model, not a curated record